Molecule: small nucleolar RNA, 107 nt
Organism: Gastrolobium bilobum
Lineage: Eukaryota; Viridiplantae; Streptophyta; Magnoliopsida; Fabales; Fabaceae
Source: RefSeq, a predicted model, not a curated record
ACCUCAUGAUUAGGACAUUUUCUAAUAAUGUCCUUAUAUCUCUCCUAUGCUUCAUAGAGACUCUCUUCAUAAAACAUUCUGAAGUUAGAGAGCUCUGCUCUGACAUC